RNAcentral lists this transfer RNA (76 nucleotides) under Rhizobacter sp. RNAcentral's name for it is "tRNA-Gly". It matches the Rfam family "tRNA". From Rfam's summary of the family: Transfer RNA (tRNA) molecules are approximately 80 nucleotides in length. Their secondary structure includes four short double-helical elements and three loops (D, anti-codon, and T loops). Lineage: Bacteria; Pseudomonadati; Pseudomonadota; Betaproteobacteria; Burkholderiales; Sphaerotilaceae. The record is from RNAcentral. RNAcentral also lists the same sequence under 1 other name.
GCGGGAGUAGCUCAGUUGGUAGAGCGCAACCUUGCCAAGGUUGAGGUCGCGAGUUCGAGUCUCGUCUCCCGCUCCA